ACUGAGGUGAAAAAUGUAAAAUCGAGAUUUGGAAACGUCCUAUAUAUCAUACCAUAUACUUUUAGAAAAUUCUAAUAAUUUACUUUCUUUAUGACUUUUAUCAGGAGUAGAAUAAAAUAUAGUAGAGUCGGGAUUUUGAAACGCCCUAUACAUCGUGGUAAUAUAUUUGUACGAAUAUUCUGUUUUUUUAUCCCAAUUAAAAUAAAAUAUAUCAGAUAGAUAAAAGUCGAUGUACAAUUAUAUACAUACUUUCAUCUCCAUUUUGAAACAUCUUGUACGUACCAAAGAUCGAGCAGCAUCACGUUCGAUUAUCUCAAAGGAGAUUGAAGAGAAAGCCGGAUACUAAAUGCGACGUAAUUAUCAAACACUAGUUUCACGCGAGUUUCAUGAAAUUUGACAAGAAUGUGCGAUGACUUUACUUUUUUACUUUAUGGUUACUUCAAGGUUAUGUAUCCAUUUCUGUCGGCCAUAUUGUAUACAGGGUGUUUAAUUGAAACGCCGAUGAUCUCUCGUGUAAAAAAAAGAGGGAGAGAUGCACGUAAAAUGCGUUUGAUUUUUGGGAAACUACGUUGCUGAGUGUUUCUUGUUGAUUUUUUUGUUCUAUCACUACAAAAUGGAUCAUGCAUAAUUCAAUGAAAUAAUAUAAAGCAAAAAACCAUCUAUGUGUGCAUCUAUCAUUUCCGUAUAAAACGAAGGAAACUUUUGGCACAACCUAAUACUUAUUUGAGAUGUAAUUAAAUCAUUGGAAUUUCUCACCUGGAAGAACUUUUUUAAAAAAUUUUGUUGAAAAAUUAGAUAACUCUCGAAAAUUAUCAGGUGGAGACAUUUUUUGAAAGGAUUAUUCGAAGGACCUAACAAUUUUUUAAAAUCUUUGCUCAAUAAAAUUUGCCACGAUUACUCAGACUUUUAAAAUAAGAACGCAGAUGUUCGUUGUGACGGAAGCAGGGAAGUUUCGCGAUUAAACGACAGGAAGAUUGCGAAUGUUGCAAACAGUUUGCCUCUCAGAUUCCUUUUCUUCUUCUCUUUGAACUUCUUCCGCUACUUUUAUUACUUUAAUCGAACGUUCGGAAAUUAAUCCCUUGUCGAAAUCAAAGCUACAACUAUCAUUCUGUUCAAUGAAUCAAAACUUGCACAAAUUCCUCCAAAAAAAUCCAUAGAAAAUCGAACUUCUCGCUUUAUAAUAUUCCACCCUUUGAAUGUCACAUUUAAUUAAAUCCAAUAACUAUAAUGAAAGAGUAGCGUUCUUUUACGCAAGUUUCAUUUUCUAACUGUACUUUGCAUUUCGUAUUUGUAUGCAUCUUUGCACACUUACACCUGUCAUAAAUGCAUAAAUACUAGUAAUCUACUAAUUAUUAAUACUCGAAUGAUCUAAGAAUGUAACAAUGAGAGAAGGUAUGGAAUCCCAGGAAAAUAUCUACAUGUUACUAAUGCAAUUAAGCUGUAUAAAAUUGUCGAAUGUUUUCAAGACAGACUACGAUUUCCAAAGGAAAUAUUAAAAAAAAAAAAAAAAAGAAAGAAAAGGGAAGAAAAAAGCUAAUUACUAGACUGUGUAUUUUGAUGCAUUUGUGGAAAGUUUGAAAAUGCAGAAACACACAGGGUGCGAAUAAUUAAGAAAAAUGUAGAAAAUAUCCAGGAAAGAAGGAAAAAUCCAAGAAGUAGAGUCUUCAUAUCGUCUUAAGCCGGGUCAAGUGUUCCCUUUCGAUGAUUCCUUUGGUCGAAAGUAAGGCAACAACUGAAGGACUCAUUGAUUUCAAAAUCCAUUUAUACUGGCGUGCAAUGCAGCGGCGUAGCAUCUCGUCGCGUCUAAUUCGAUCACAGCAGCGAGGCUAUUGUUUUCUGUCCGCGCCUCUGCCUGCUGGACAAACCAUUGACACGGUGUUGCCUAAUGGAAAUCGCUAUUCGACACACGUAAUGCUGCUCCGUGGACUCUGCCAACUCAUAUUGUUCAACCAAUAAACAAUAUCGUGCCGCGGGUCAAGGUGGAUCAAAAAAAUUCAUGGGAUCUGUGGUAUGGGUUCGAUGGUGUCGAUAGAUGGAUCGUAGAAUACGACGCUAUAUUGGUUAGGUAAAAGUACAUAUAGAUACUAGGUCAGGUAUAUAUACAGUGGCUAUAAAAGGUACUGGCACGAACCCUUAUUUUCCAACGAAGCGUUUUCUUUUUUCUUUUUUUUUUUUUAUCGGAUUUGCUUUCUAUUUUCAUACAUAGUAGUGUAAUGUAUAUACCCGUAUGUAGUAAAUGUAUAUACUUGAACCUAAUUAAUCAGAAUAAAUACUGCCGCUUAAAAUUUUGCAGCAACCUUUGCUCUUUAGACGAAACGAACUUCUACAUAUAUUUUUCCGAGAAAUAAGAAUAUUAUAAUUUUCAGAGGAGCAUCUGAAAAUAAUCCACGUUCAUCGCAUACGUAUGUAGGUGUGAAUUUGAAUUUAAUAUUGAUCAGUAUGAUUUGGUAGUACUGAAAGAUCGAUAACGAAACACGAUUCCAUGAUGUUUAGGUGGAUAUAAUAGGUGGUUGGUAGAAGUUGCACAUGAAUGUUAUUGGCAUUAAUUAGUCCUCUGGCGUUCAGGCGAAGAUCUCAGUUUAGUAUUGAUCGGUUUGAUUUGGUAGUAUUCGAAAGCGGAUAGUAAAACAUGAUUCUAUGGUUGUUCAGGUAGGUACACAUGUAGAUGAGUACUAGGUAACAUGUAGAUGUAGAUAAGUACUAGGUAAUAAUAGAUCUUUGGUAGAAGUACAUGCUAUAUAUAUAUAUAUAAUGUGUAUACUGUUUAGAAAUAAUUUGUUCCAUGACGUAUAGAUGUGGAUUUGAUCUUCGUUUGAUGGAUUGUAUCGAGCUUUGAUUUGGGUACUUAAUAUGUAUAUAUUAUGUAGAUUAUAGGUACGUAUGUGUUACGUUAGUUGAUACGUAUGAGUCAACGUCUUAACAACGCUUUACCAAAAAAUCGGACGUGAAUCAACUUCAUUGUAUUCGGAAUUAUUGAGUCAUCCUACGGAUUCUUGCGGUUUUGCAUCCUUUUUAGCUUACAAACGUACACUGCCCUCUUGAAAAUUUGAUACUUUGAUGUACUUACGUUAGUUGCACUCGAAAAUAGUAUCUUCAUAAAUAUUAUCAAGAAAAUGGGAUCUAAAAGGGAGAUUUGUUUUAAUACUUGCAUCAAAUAUAUUAUAACGAGUACUUUAUUUUGUA
Bombus huntii is the source of this 3183-nucleotide long non-coding RNA. RefSeq lists it as uncharacterized. NCBI's taxonomy places the organism in Eukaryota, Metazoa, Arthropoda, Insecta, Hymenoptera, Apidae. The record is from RefSeq and is a predicted model, not a curated record. The transcript has 2 exons.